RNAcentral lists this ribosomal RNA (493 nucleotides) under uncultured bacterium. RNAcentral's name for it is "partial 16S ribosomal RNA". The record is from RNAcentral.
UUAGGUACCGUCAAGAUGUGCACAGUUACUUACACAUAUGUUCUUCCCUAAUAACAGAGUUUUACGAUCCGAAGACCUUCAUCACUCACGCGGCGUUGCUCCGUCAGGCUUUCGCCCAUUGCGGAAGAUUCCCUACUGCUGCCUCCCGUAGGAGUCUGGACCGUGUCUCAGUUCCAGUGUGGCCGAUCACCCUCUCAGGUCGGCUAUGCAUCGUUGCCUUGGUAAGCCGUUACCUUACCAACUAGCUAAUGCAGCGCGGAUCCAUCUAUAAGUGACAGCAAGACCGUCUUUCACUUUUGAACCAUGCGGUUCAAAAUAUUAUCCGGUAUUAGCUCCGGUUUCCCGAAGUUAUCCCAGUCUUAUAGGUAGGUUAUCCACGUGUUACUCACCCGUCCGCCGCUAACAUCAGAGAAGCAAGCUUCUCGUCCGUUCGCUCGACUUGCAUGUAUUAGGCACGCCGCCAGCGUUCAUCCUGAGCCAGGAUCAAACCCUC